This 331-nucleotide ribosomal RNA is filed under the name uncultured bacterium. RNAcentral describes it as "bacterial SSU rRNA". It matches the Rfam family "Bacterial small subunit ribosomal RNA", at positions 568 to 898 of the family's 1533-position model. The record is from RNAcentral.
UGCGUAGACGGUUGCAUAAGUCGGAUGUGAAAUCCCCGGGCUCAACCUGGGAAUUGCAUUCGAGACUGUGUAGCUGGGGUGCGGAAGAGGGAAGCGGAAUUUCCGGUGUAGCGGUGAAAUGCGUAGAUAUCGGAAGGAACAUCAGUGGCGAAAGCGGCUUCCUGGUCCAGCACCGACGUUCAGGCACGAAAGCGUGGGGAGCAAACAGGAUUAGAUACCCUGGUAGUCCACGCCAAUAAACGAUGAGAACUAGACGUUGAGAGGGUAAGCCUCCCAGUGUCGUAGCUACGCGCUAAGUUCUCCGCCUGGGGAGUACGGCCGCAAGGUUGAA